This is a long non-coding RNA of Pezoporus flaviventris, 3153 nucleotides long. RefSeq lists it as uncharacterized. The record is from RefSeq and is a predicted model, not a curated record. The transcript has 3 exons. NCBI's taxonomy places the organism in Eukaryota, Metazoa, Chordata, Aves, Psittaciformes, Psittacidae.
AAUGCUGCCAGCCUGCCCCUUCCCUCUCAAGCCAGCUCCUCUUCUUGCAAGGCUCAGGUCUGCUACUGCCUCUUCUCCUUCAUCCUGCUCCUCUAUGCCUAUUCCCUUGCUCUGGCUUUCUUAUGCUUCCCAUCUUUCCUUACUUCCCCCCAUCUCUUGCAAUUUCCCUCUCGUUGUCUAUCUGAGGACGGUUGUUGGUGCUAUUUCUGUUUCCAUGCACGUGAAAUGGCUUUGCUGGAUCCGUAUGUUCGUUGCUUCCUAGUGUGAGCAACCCCAUGGAGACAUCCCUUAUUUAGGCUUUUAAUUUCCCUGUUAUUUUCUAGUCCGUCAGAGGUGAGCUUCAUAUCUCAGAUCUUGUUUAUGCGUUCAUGGAGCAAAUUCAGCCCUUUCGUAAGGGAAGGAAAUAUGCCAGUAUUGGCGUUUUCCAUCAAGCCACAGCGCUGGGAGUGUGCUCUUCUUCUGCACAGAGCUGUGAAUCCAACUCGUGGUUUCAUCCAAACCUGUGAGGCUGAAGGACAACAUAAGAAGAAAAUCACAUGCGCGUACAUGGCAAAGUUUUCUGUCCCAGGCUGUGGGAGCAGAUUUGUUGAAAUGUUUUUAAAGAAUUCUAUCUGCUCGAUGCUAAGAGGAGCCUGUUCGUGCUUAAUAAAUGGGAGAAAUUGCUCAAAAAUACUUCCUCCAUAUGAAAGUGCGAGCCCUGUACUGCUGCCAAGAGACGUGAGACCUGUGGUGUCAUGCCGAGAGUGUGGGUUUGGAAGCUGAAGCAUCUGAGAAAAGGCAUUUUUAGUGCUGGACCAGACUCAGACACCAAGGAUGCUCCAGGGGAUGAACUCAACCAAACUGUCUCCAUGUGCCCAGUUCUACAGGUGAAGGCAGCCGUAGCUUUAGUGCUUUUAUUUCUCCCUUUUCCUGAGGAUAAGUGAAAUCCCCAGCCACCUCCUGCAGCAGCAGACUUGCUCUGGAAAUGGUUUGGUUCGUGACUUGGAUGAUAGGGUAAGCAGCAACACCAAAUGCAGGGUUUUAUUAGAAACUUUCUCUUGUAUGUGGUGGCUCUGGUAGGUCCCUGUAGGAUUUCUUUCUCAGUUUCUCCAUAGCUGCUGCCCCUGUCCCAUCUGGAGCUAACACAACACACCCAGGUAACACUAGAGCAAGCUAAAAGCAUCACCCUGCAGCAUCCCAACCCUGCUGGGGAAUAACCUAGAGGAAAAUCUUUGCUUCUUGAGCUCAACCCUAGAAAGCGCUUCUUGCUAUGCAUCUCCCUCCACCAUCCCUCUCUGUAAUGACACAUUUUAGCUCACUUUUAUAUUGGUUCGCUAAGCCACUGUGCUGUCUUCUUCCUUUUAUAAUUAAGCAACUUGAGAAAUCCUUUGAGGUCAAUAAAUUCUGAGGAGGCUUACAUAAAACAGAAUAUAAAGUGGAGAGCCCUGCCAUCAGAAGCCAGUAAAAGUCAGCCUCUUUGCACGACACCUCUGCAAAUGGCAUUAUGUCAUUGCCUAAUAUUAGUAAGAAACAGUAAAAUUAUGGUUUUUGUUCAGAGCUAUAAAAAGUAAUGAGUCUCACAUAAUUUACUGAAGGGAAGGGGAGAGGAGAGAGGGGAGGAAGGUGGCUGUAAAAGUGAACUUCCAUUUUUUUGGGCAUCCUGAGUGCAUUAGGAAAUCUAGCUUGUAACACCCAAAUAGACUUUAAUGUGCUCUGUCCCGUGGACCUGAUUUAUUUUGUUGUGCUUUGCUUGCCAGGAACACACACACACAAAAUCUUUCAGGAGUCAGGUGGUCUUGUUUCGGUAAAUACAACAGAAUAAUCAGAAGCUGGAAAAUAUUAUGGGGUGGGUGAGGAUGGUGUUAUUUGUCUUGGGUCAUGGUAUGUGGUGAGAGCGGCUGGGAUGCUGCAGAUCCCAGCUCAGUGAAGCCCAUGGUAUUAUUCUCCAUCUUUACAAACAGGGUGACAUAUUUCUGCAGCUAAAUAUUUACUCUCUCAUCGCAGGAAUGUAAGUGCCCAAGCAACAGAUCUGUGGAGUCAUUCAUUUUGGAAGAGGAAGGAAGCGACCCUCUAAGGGAGGCUUUGUGCUGCCGACCUGAAUACAUAGGUUGUGUGGGAGUUAAAUACGAGCUGUGAGGGCUGGGGAUGCAGCAGACCACUUCCCUGCUGUGAGCCAACACGUUCAUGAGCAAUAAUCUAUAAUAAGGACCGGGCUUUACAUGGAGAGCCAAGCACUGUAGGAGAUGGCUGCUUGGCUUUUCAUCCUGCUUGGUCCUAGCGAAGGUGGAAGCACAUGGAAACAGGGUGGGAAACAACCCCUGCAGACUGCACUCUGUCAAUGCCAAUACUAAAUCUCAGACUGGGGCAAGGAGGGGGGAAAUAUUUUAGCAGUGAUAUUGUGCAACUAAAGGAUAGGAAGGCUUUUUUUUUUUCACACACCAUAACUGUUCACUAAUGCAUGCAUGAACUAACUGUCCUUUCUGUCAAGCUCCUUCAUUAGUAUUCUUUUUCUUUCUGUACUGGAGUUAGGCUGAAAGAGAGAUUAUACCGAAAGUUGGCUGGCUAUCAGUUGGUCCAAUUUUAUGCGUUUUAAAAUGUGUACUUUUUAUAGGGCUAAAAAUUGGUCCAGAGCCUCUAUGUAAGCAGCAGCUACAGGGGCUGGUGGCUGUUAGUUCUCUCUUUGAAUCCCCAAUUGAUUCUCGUCUUGGGAUAUUCAUCCCAAAUACGUGCAAGUCCCUUGAACACCACUGAGCUUUUCUGGAGCUCAUCAGUGCUGAUGAGUGGGGAACAGCCCAAGAGCCAUCAGCGACAGCUAACGUCAAGAUGCGAAAUAAUCAAUAUUAAUGCAUGGAAGUGCAUAUCCAAAAAGCCAACAGAUACAGUGACAGCCCUAGAAGGUGCUUCAGCAUGGUGAGUUAUAAGUGGUUCUGGGUUGGGAAAGAUGAAGUUAUCAAUGUGCUAAGCAACGUCUUGCCCAUUUCUGUUCCUCCAUGCUCUAGUGACACGAAGCUCCUGUUCUCCUUGGGAUACUGCAGUCCUACUUGACCUGUAUAUGUCUGAAGUGUAUUUUCUUUAUAUAUGUAUUUUCAAGAGAUCACUAUUAUUUUCUAACUUGCAUUCCUGGCACCUCAUAAUUUUUCUUACAUUUCUCUGUGUGGCAAAUAAAAUUGGUCA